UUUCGGUAUCCUGUGUUGCUUACCUGCGGAAAGGAAAUCGUUUGUUUCGCCGUCCCUUUCCGCCCGACGCCCUCGGUGGGUGUGGGGUGGACAUCAGGCAUGAUCCGUGGUCCUGGCACGUCCCGCUCGGGACUGCCUUGGCCCACGGCGUCGUUGCCCGUUCUCUCGGAUACGGAACGCCGUGCGUGGGUGCGGGGUCUCGGCCUUCGCUGGCCCAAGCUACGCAUCUGUCCCUUGACACGAACGACCGCCGCGCCCGUCUCGACCUCGCGUGCGUGCCUUCUUCGGCUCGGCGUGGGUCAUGCGGGCGUCGGCGUCGCCGAGGAAUGCUACCUGGUUGAUCCUGCCAGUAGUCAUAUGCUUGUCUCA
RNAcentral lists this unclassified non-coding RNA (369 nucleotides) under Spondias sp. Machado & Antas 1564. RNAcentral's name for it is "partial external transcribed spacer". RNAcentral also lists the same sequence under 1 other name. The record is from RNAcentral. Lineage: Eukaryota; Viridiplantae; Streptophyta; Magnoliopsida; Sapindales; Anacardiaceae.